CACGAACGACUCUCGGCAACGGAUAUCUCGGCUCUCGCAUCGAUGAAGAACGUAGCGAAAUGCGAUACUUGGUGUGAAUUGCAGAAUCCCGUGAACCAUCGAGUCUUUGAACGCAAGUUGCGCCCGAAGCCGUCAGGCUGAGGGCACGUCUGCCUGGGUGUCACGCAU
This 168-nucleotide ribosomal RNA is filed under the name Perrierodendron quartzitorum. Its description in RNAcentral is "5.8S ribosomal RNA". It matches the Rfam family "5.8S ribosomal RNA". From Rfam's summary of the family: 5.8S ribosomal RNA (5.8S rRNA) is a component of the large subunit of the eukaryotic ribosome. It is transcribed by RNA polymerase I as part of the 45S precursor that also contains 18S and 28S rRNA. Lineage: Eukaryota; Viridiplantae; Streptophyta; Magnoliopsida; Malvales; Sarcolaenaceae. The record is from RNAcentral.